RNAcentral lists this small RNA (28 nucleotides) under Bombyx mori (domestic silkworm). Its description in RNAcentral is "piRNA piR-bmo-1558724". Lineage: Eukaryota; Metazoa; Arthropoda; Insecta; Lepidoptera; Bombycidae. The record is from RNAcentral.
UUCAAUAGGAUGUAACUCGCCUUCAUGC